Molecule: ribosomal RNA, 566 nt
Filed under: uncultured eukaryote
Lineage: Eukaryota
Description: bacterial SSU rRNA
Rfam family: Eukaryotic small subunit ribosomal RNA
Source: RNAcentral
UCGUCAUAUGCUUGUCACAAAGAUUAAGCCAUGCAUGUCUAAGUAUAAACUAAUUAUACGGUGAAACUGCGAAUGGCUCAUUAAAUCAGCUAUAAUCUACUUGAUCGUACAUUUUUCUUAUUUGGAUAACCGUAGGAAAUCUAGGGCUAAUACAUGCUAAAAACGCUGACUACUGGGGGGCUUCGCAAGGGGUUCUUUUGGUUCGGAAGGCGUGAAUUUAUUAGAUUAAAAACCAAUGUGGGGUUCGCUCCACUAAAAUCCUAGACGAUUCAUGAUAACGCAUCGAAUCGCGGCUUUACGCUGCGAUGAUACAUACGAAUUUCUGCCCUAUCAACUUUCGAUGGUUGGAUAGAGGCCAACCAUGGUCGUAACGGGUAACGGAGAAUUAGGGUUCGAUUCCGGAGAUGGAGCCUGAGAGAUGGCUACAACUUCCACGGAAGGCAGCAGGCGCGCAAAUUACCCAAUCCCAAUACGGGGAGGUAGUGACAUGAAAUACCGAUGCACGGCCCUAUAGGGUCGUGAUGUUGGAAUGAGUACAAUUUAAACCCCUUAACAAGGAACAAUUG